UGGGGUAUAUUGGACAAUGGGCGAAAGCCUGAUCCAGCCAUGCCGCGUGUGUGAAGAAGGUCUUCGGAUUGUAAAGCACUUUAAGUUGGUAGGAAGGGCAGUAAGCGAAUACCUUGCUGUUUUGACGUUACCGACAGAAUAAGCACCGGCUAACUCUGUGCCAGCAGCCGCGGUAAUACAGAGGGUGCAAGCGUUAAUCGGAAUUACUGGGCGUAAAGCGCGCGUAGGUGGUUCGUUAAGUUGAAUGUGAAAGCCCCGGGCUCAACCUGGGAACUGCAUCCAAAACUGGCGAGCUAGAGUAGGGCAGAGGGUGGUGGAAUUUCCUGUGUAGCGGUGAAAUGCGUAGAUAUAGGAAGGAACGCCAGUGGCGAAGGCGACCACCUGGGCUCAUACUGACACUGAGGUGCGAAAGCGUGGGGAGCAAACAGG
This 429-nucleotide ribosomal RNA is filed under the name Pseudomonadota bacterium. RNAcentral describes it as "Proteobacteria bacterium partial 16S ribosomal RNA". It matches the Rfam family "Bacterial small subunit ribosomal RNA", at positions 355 to 776 of the family's 1533-position model. Lineage: Bacteria; Pseudomonadati; Pseudomonadota. The record is from RNAcentral.